GAGGCAAAACACGAGGUAUGUAUAUCAAACGCUCUAGAAAAGAUUCAUGUGAUGAAAUACAUGAUGAACCACGUAUGUUCUCAAGGUAAAAUUAAUUAAUGCAGUAUAGUUUUAACUUUGUCCAUCGAUCUCAACCUGUAACUGUGACGACACACUGGCUACAGUGCCCUCGAGGUACUAGCAGUAUAGCAGUAGCUGUAGUACGUAGCAGCAGCAGCAGCAGGUUCACUGUCUUGAUUGGAUUGGAUCGGAUUAGUAGACGUAGUUCUUGACGAACAUGCCCUCCUUGGCCUCGGCGGCCUCGCCGUCGCUGGUGUACUUGCCGAGCUGCGCCAGCGAGUUGGCCUUGGCGCGGAGGAGCAGCGCGUCCUGCGCCGCCUUCACGUUCUCCGGCUGCCCGCCCCACGUCUUGAGGCACGUGUUCUGCAGCGCCCUCGCGUACGAGAACGACACGUGCCACGGGUUGGGCCCCUGGUUCAUCGCGUUCAGGUUCUGCGUCGCCUCCACCUCCGACUGCCCACCCGACAAGAACAUGAUGCCGGGGACGGCAGGGGGGAUCCUUCUGUGGAGGAGCUUGAGGGUGUAGUCAGAUACUUGCUCAGGGGUGGCCCUGUCCUUGCACUCGGCACCGGGUGUCACCAUGCUUGGCUUGAGGAGGAUGCCCUCGAACAUCACAUUGUUCUCGGCCAUGUAGAAGAAGGUCUCCGCCCACACCUUCUGCGCCACCUCGAAGGUCCUGUCGAUGCCAUGCUCACCGUCGAGGAGGAUCUCAGGCUCGACAAUCGGCACCAGCCCGUUGUCCUGAGAAAUGGCGGCGUAGCGGGCAAGGCCCCAGGCAGCCUCCUUCACGGCGAGUUCAGAUGGGCCGUUGGGGAUGCUGACAACAGUGCGCCACUUGGCGAAGCGAGCGCCCUGCUGGUAGUAUGCCGCCUCGCGCGAGGCAAGGCCGUCGAGACCUUGGCACCAUGACUCGUUGUUGGAGCCAGCAAGGGGCACAAGACCCUUGUCGACCUUGAUACCUGGAACGAUUUUCUGCUCAGUGAGGAUGUCGACAAUCUUCUUGCCAUCUACAGUUGACUGGUACAGAGUCUCCUCGAAGAGGAUAGCACCGGAGAUGUACUGUCCCAAGCCCGGUGCGGUGACAAGGAGGGUCCGGUAAGCCUGGCGGUUGGCCUCGGUGUUCUCAAGGCCAAUUGACGCAAGCCUCUUACCGCAGGUCGCGUUCGACUCAUCCAUGGCAAGGAUACCCCUUCCUGGUGAUGCAAUGGUUUUCGCGGUCUUGACAAGCUCAUCGUCGUAGGCACCAGCGCGGACAACCAUGGAGACAGUCACCGGCUUGGGGGCGGCAGCCUGGCGGGUGGCACCCCAUUCAGACUUCUUGGGAAGGAAAGAUGACUUGAGGAGAGUAGCAGACGCCAUUGCUUCCGGUUUCUCUGAAGGCAAAGGAGAGCAAGGUGCUACUACCCUCUCCUUGACACAGGCCUUUUCU
This 1489-nucleotide unclassified non-coding RNA is filed under the name Hevea brasiliensis (rubber tree). Lineage: Eukaryota; Viridiplantae; Streptophyta; Magnoliopsida; Malpighiales; Euphorbiaceae. The record is from RNAcentral.